GAUGGAUAGCUGGCCACUGGAAAUUUGUCGUUUGACCACUCGAGACCCCUCCAGACCACAGGUAACUAAUGUUUGGGGGUGCUCUAUAACCUAUUGCGUUUGUAUGUGCUUGAGAUUAAAUAAAGCAGAGACUCUGAGAAAAGGAAAAGAAUUUGAGA
Molecule: long non-coding RNA, 158 nt
Organism: Chelonia mydas (Green sea turtle)
Lineage: Eukaryota; Metazoa; Chordata; Testudines; Cheloniidae
Exons: 3
Source: RefSeq, a predicted model, not a curated record